Molecule: long non-coding RNA, 409 nt
Organism: Dendronephthya gigantea
Lineage: Eukaryota; Metazoa; Cnidaria; Anthozoa; Malacalcyonacea; Nephtheidae
Exons: 3
Source: RefSeq, a predicted model, not a curated record
UAAUUGAUUGCUUUCCCGCUUAAUGCUUAUCAAUAAUUGGUGUAACCGAGCAACCAAACCCGAGACCAAACCUCCCAAAUGAAUGGAAACGCGACAUGAGUUGAAAGCUCCUUUAAUUGAACGAAUUAGGACAAAUUUCUUGUGAAAAUGAAUACUGAUACCAAUGGAAUCGAAAGCGGAAACGUGAAGAAAAUAAUAACAAAUGAUUGCAGACAAAACUUGUGUACCUGACUUUGUACGAACUUUGUUCUCAACGACAAGGUGUUUCUGUGUCGCGCUCUCGACACCACGAGGUUGGGCCUGCCUAGCCAAGGAAACCAGUUUAUCCAGAAAGAUGCGGCCUAAAAGCAGUUUAGUGUGAGAAAGCCAUCAUGCAGCUAUUGCUACUUCAAAAUCAAAAAGGCGAUGU